UCUCCGGCACCAUCCUCUCCACCUACUUCAUCUCCAGCUCCUUCUCCCACCACUGGCUCAACCCCAUCACCCACUCCUUCUCCCUCCUCCACCUCACCUUCCACACCCCCUACUACUACACCCUCUCCUUCUCCCAGCAUCGCUUCUCCUCCGGCACCGCCGACAUCCGGUUCCGGUUCACCCCCUACUGCUACCCCUACUGAAUCACCCAACGGCAGCUUCGCUGAUGGUUGGUUGAACAGAGUCGUCAUUGCCGGAACUGCCCUGGCCGGAUCAUUCGUGGCGGUGGCCAUGAUCUAGAGCGGGACCUGACCCACGUGGAUGAGGGUUGGCAUUUCAGGCC
Molecule: long non-coding RNA, 343 nt
Filed under: Vitis vinifera (wine grape)
Lineage: Eukaryota; Viridiplantae; Streptophyta; Magnoliopsida; Vitales; Vitaceae
Description: long non-coding RNA (VVIN_LNC007292)
Source: RNAcentral